GCUUAUUUCUAGAGAUAGAAGUUACUUCGGUACAUCGGUGACAGGUGGUGCAUGGUUGUCGUCAGCUCGUGUCGUGAGAUGUUGGGUUAAGUCCCGCAACGAGCGCAACCCCUAUUGUUAGUUGCCAUCAUUCAGUUGGGCACUCUAGCGAGACUGCCGGUAAUAAACCGGAGGAAGUGGGGAUGACGUCAAAUCAUCAUGCCCCUUAUGACCUGGGCUACACACGUGCUACAAUGGUUGGUACAACGAGUUGCGAGUCGGUGACGGCGAGCUAAUCUCUUAAAGCCAAUCUCAGUUCGGAUUGUAGGCUGCAACUCGCCUACAUGAAGUCGGAAUCGCUAGUAAUCGCGGAUCAGCACGCCGCGGUGAAUACGUUCCCGGGCCUU
RNAcentral lists this ribosomal RNA (386 nucleotides) under uncultured Streptococcus sp. Its description in RNAcentral is "bacterial SSU rRNA". It matches the Rfam family "Bacterial small subunit ribosomal RNA", at positions 992 to 1382 of the family's 1533-position model. Lineage: Bacteria; Bacillati; Bacillota; Bacilli; Lactobacillales; Streptococcaceae. The record is from RNAcentral.